AUACAUUUGGCAAUAUAGUGUAUAUAUAUAUAUAGAUAUAUAGAUAUAGAUAUAUAUAUAUGUAUGUGUGUAUGUAUGUAUGUAUAUAUAUUCAUAUACAUACAUCGAUCAGCCACAACAUUAAAACUACCUGCCUAAUAUUGUGUAGGUCCCACCUCAUGCUGCCAAAACAGUGCCAACCCGCAUCUCAGAAUAGCAUUCUGAGAUAUUAUACUUCUCACCACAGUUGUACAGAGCGGUUAUCCGAGUUACCGUAGACUUUGUCAGUUCAAACCAGUCUGGCUAUUCUCCGUUGACCACUCUCAUCAACAAGGCGCUUCCAUCCACAGAACUGCCCCUCACUGGAUGUUUUUUGUUUUUGGCACCAUUCUGAGUAAAUUCUAGAGGCUGUUGUGCGUGAAAAUCCCAGGAGAUCAGCAGUUACAGAAAUACUCAAACCAGCCCAUUAUCAUCAUCAUUUUAUUUAUAAAGCACAAUUUAAAAACAACAACAGUUGACCAAUGUGCUGUACAAUGUGUUCGCAAGAACUUUUUAAAUAUAAUAAAACAUAAUAAUAUAGACCCAAAGACAUAAAAUAAUAAACAACAGAGAACAUCACAAGUUGUAGGCUAGAGAGAAAAGAUGCAUUUUUAACUUAGAUUUAAAAAUAUGUAGUGGAGCAGUUCUGAUCGAAGACGGUAAGCUGUUCCAAAGUUUAGGUGUGGCUAUGGCGAACGCUCGAUAACCCCUAGAUUUUACCUUCGACUUAGGGACAGUUAAUAAACUCUGGUUGGCGGAUCUAAGAUCUCUUCCUGGACAGUGUUCACACAAAAGGUUGGAGAGGUAGGCAGGGGCUCGGCCAUUUAAGGAUUUAAAUACAAGCAAGAGCACUUUAAAAUCAAUUCUAGAACGGACAGGAAGCCAAUGUAAAGACACUAAAACAGGAGUAAUAUGUUCACAUUUACGAACACCCGUUAAAACUUUCGCAGCUGCAUUUUGAACCAUCUGUAAUAUAGAUAUGUUAGAAUUGUUUAUUCCCAAAUAUAGGGAAUUACAAUAGUCCAGUCUAGAGGUGAUAAAAGCAUGUAUCGCUGUUUCGAAGUGCUUGAUGGACAGAAAGGACUUCACUUUAGCCAGUACUUUAGCCAGAGUUAAUCUGCUUGUCAAAUUUAAGGACAUUAUCAAAAAGACCCCCAAAUUUUUCAAACUAUUUUUAACCGAAGAGGAUAAAACACCAAAAUUUAAAUGAGAAGUUUUAGGGGCUUCUGAAGAGCCAAACAUGAUGAUGUCACUUUCAUUUAAAUUUAAGAAACUUAAAGAUAUCCAGGCCUUAACAUCAGAAAGGCUAAGAGAGUCUAAGCCAUUCUGUGGACGGAAAUGCCUUGUUAAUGAGAGAGGUCAACAGAGAGAAAGUUACAUGAUUGUAUGCCUCGGUCCUUCUCCCUAUGGGUAUGAGGCCGUGCCGGUUAGCACUGGGGGCGAUUUGGAGACAUCAAUGGGACAACCUCCGCCGGGUAUCCCCCCCACAGACCUCCGAUUCCCCAGCACGCUCGCUCGGCCCGGUCGGGCGCUCGGACGAGACCGCCGACUCGUCUCAGGGCGAGUUGGACCUCUUGUUCAGAGCCUGGGAAGACGACGAGUUAUCGAGCGCAGCAUUGGAGAAGGGGCUCAUCCAGUCGGACGCAGAGGCUUCGACUGGGCUUCCUCCGUGAAAUGGUCGCCCAGGACGACGCGGAAAUGACGGACAUGCUUUCCCGGGCGGCCGCGAGCGUCAGGCUAGAGUGGAACCCUCCACUCUCCCCUGAACCCUCGCGGCUUGACGAUUGGUUCCUGGGCUCGGGGCGCCACCCACGGCCAUGCCCCCUGCCCCCAUUCCUUUCUUCCCGGAAGUGCAUGAGGAGCUGACAAGAUCAUGGGAGGCACCUUUUACUGCCCGGUCCCGGUCUUUCAGCUCCACCGCUCUCACUACCCUCGAUGGUGGAGCGGCCAGGGGGUAUUCGGUUAUCCCCCAGGUGGAUAAGGCGUUUGUGGUGCACUUGUGUCCUCAGAGCACCGCCACCUGGCGCGGGUGCCCGAAGCUCCCAUCCAGGGCCUGUAGGUUUACAUCGUCCCUGACAGCUAAGGCCUACGGUGCCACUGGACAAGCCACCUCCACCCUGCACGCCAUGGCUCUCCUGCAAGUACACCAAGCCAAGGCGCUAAAAGAACUGCACAAGGGUAGUUAUGACCCGAGAUUGAUGCAGGAACUGCGCUCGGCGAACGACCUUGCUCUCCGGGCGACGAAGGUCACGGCGCGGUCUCUCAGGCAGGCGAUGUCCACCCUGGUGGUCCAGGAGCGCCACCUUUGGCUCAACUUGGUUGAGAUGCAAAAGGCUGACAAGGCACGGUUCCUUGACGCCCCCAUCUCCCAGGUUGGCCUGUUUGGCCACACCGUCGAGGACUUUUCCCAGCAGUUCUCAGCGGUGAAGUAGCAGACGGAGGCCAUACAACACAUCCUGCCCCGGCACAGCUCAAGACCCCACACCCCGUCUGCUCAACGCCAAGGGUGUCCUCCUGCAGCAACAACACCAGCUCCGCCACAGCCCGCCCCCGGCGUGGAGCCCAAUGCAGGAAGCAGAUGCCACCCGUCUCACGGCCGGCCGCUGAGAACCCGAGGAAGGCUUCAAAGCGCCCCUGAGACGGGCAACCCAGGGGCGAGGAGACCUGCUUCUCUGGUGUUGGUGAGCAGACCACUCCAUCCCCUGGUGGAGUGCCGGGAGGAGAAUCUUUUGUUUCGUUUUCAUUUAAUUUCGCCACAUGUCCAACCCAAAAGUUCAACAAAAGUGCGGUUUUCUUGUUCCCUGGGUCACAUGUCCCGGUGCGUAUGGCCGUCGUCACGACCACCGUCCACCGUCCCAUUUUUUCAGGUAUGGCGCUCCAGCGGCGGCCCUGUCCACCCAGUUGUGGCACAAACAUGCCCACACGUGAUUGGUUCUGGUGGACUACGGGGACGAGACUCCUCCUCCCCCCUCGUUGGCCAAUCUUAUGCUGGGCGGCAGGAGCCAGGUAACUGCUUAGAUGUCCCUGGACUCAGCACGGCCACGGGCUCGAGUCCCCUCGACGUGGCACCUCGAGCUCCGCCCCGCCGCGAGGCCCCACCUGCCGGUACGUCCGAUGUGAUCAUUCCCUUGGUCCCCUCGACACAGACCCUGCCUGCGGUUUGCCUUCGAAGGCCAGGCGUACCAGUACAAGGUCCUCCCCUUCGGCCUGUCCUUGUCCCCUCACGUCUUCACGAAGGUCACAGAGGCAGCCCUUGCCCCGCUAAGGGAAGUGGGCGUCCGCAUCCUCAACUAUCUCGAUGACUGGCUAAUCCUAGCUCACUCUCGAGAGUUGCUGUGCGCACACAGGGACCUCGUGCUCCGGCACCUCAGCCAACUGGGGCUUUGGGUCAACUGGGAAAAAAGCAAGCUCUCCCCGGUUCAGAGCAUCUCUCUUCUCGGUUUGGAGUUGGACUCAGUCUCAAUGACAGCGCGCCUCACGAACGAGCAUGCGCAGUCGGUGCUGAACUGUCUGAAGGCGUUCAGACGGAGGACAGCGGUUCCACUGAAGCUUUUUCAGAGGCUCCUGGGGCAUAUGGCAUCCUCAGCAGUGGCCACACCACUCAGGUUGAUGCAUAUGAGACCGCUUCAGCACUGGCUUCAGACUCGAGUCCCGAGAUGGGCAUAGCGCUGCGGGACACAUCGCGUAGCCACCAUGAUGAUCUGUUGCCGCCUCUUCAGUCCUUGGACUGACCUUGCAUUUCUACGGGCAGGGGUUUCCCUAGAGCAGGUCUCCAGGCAUGUCGUGGUUACAACAGACGCCUCCAAGACGGGCUGGGGCGCCGUAUACAAUGGGUACACAGCUGCCGGCUCCUGGACUGGCCCGUGGCUGCAUUGGCACAUCAUCUGCCUAGAGUUGUUGGCAGUACUGCUUGCCCUGUGGAGGUUCCGGCUGCUGAUCCAGGGCAAGCACGUGUUGGUCCGGACGGACAACACAGCGACAGUUGUGUACAUCAACCGUCAAAACAGUCUACGCUCCUGUUGCAUGUCACAACUUGCCCGCCGUCUCCUCCUCUGGAGUCAGCAGCGCCUCAAGUCCCUACGAGCCACUCACAUCCCGGGCGACCUCAACACCACAGCGGACGCGCUGUCAUGUCAGGUUACCCUCAGGUGAUCCAGCUGAUUUGGAGUCGAUUCGGUCGAGCACAGGUAGACCUGUUUGCUUCCCGGGAAUCCUCCCACUGCCCACUUUGGUACGCCCUGACCGAGGCACCCCUUGGUAUAGAUGCGCUGGCCCUCUGGACUACGCAAAUACGCAUUUCCCCCAGUGAGCCUACUUGCACAGACCCUGUGCAAGGUCAGGGAGGACGAGGAGCAGAUCAUCCUAGUAGCACCCUACUGGCCCACCCAGAUGUGGUUCUCGGAUCUCACACUCCUCACAACAGCACCCCCUGGCGAAUUCCCCUGAGGAAGGACCUUCUUUCUUAGGGACGGGGCACCAUCUAGCAUCCGCAACCAGACCUCUGGAAUCUCCACGUCUGGCCCCCGGUUGGGACGCGGAAGACCUAAGUGGCCUACCACCCACGGUGGUAGACACGAUCACUCAGGCUAGGGCUACGAGGCGCCUGUAUGCCUUGAAGUGGCGUCUGUUCGCUAAAUGGGGUUCUUCCCGACGCGAAGACCCCCAGAGAUGCGCUGUCGGAUCGGUGCUUUCAUUCCUGCAGGAGAGGCUGGAGGGGCGGCUGUCCUCCACAUUGAAGGUGUAUGUAGCCGCAAUUUCGGCUCAUCACAAUGCAGUAGAUGGUAAGUACUUGGGGAAGCGCGACUUGAUCAUCAGGUUCCUGAGAGGAGCUAGGAGGUUGAAUUCCUCCAGACCGCGCCUCGUCCCCUCGUGGGACCUCUCUGUAGUCCUCCGGGGUCUACGGGGAGCUCCCUUUGAGCCCUUGGAGUCAGCUGAACUUAAGGCACUCUCUUUGAAGACUGAGACCCUGAUCGGUCUGUUUGCCUGCCGAUUUGGAUUGUUUGCUUGUGUUCAUAAUAAACUUCCAGCACAUGGAUCCUAACACCGUCUCCAUGGCCAGUUCAUUACACAUACUGUUUCCUUACGUAUAAUGGUGGAGGUACACGGGUACUUUAACCCAUCCCGUGUACAUUUAUACUACCAAGUUUCCCUACAUAUAAUGGUGGUCGAAUGCAUCCAAGAUUCGUAAACAAAUUAAUUAAUUUAUACAAUCCAAUUUCCCUACAUAUACUGGUGUUGGAAUGCGUGCAAAAAUCUAAAUGAGUUAUUUGUCGAUUUAUACACAGUCUUUCUUUUCUUUGAAUCCAGAAACAGAACAGAGAAACUACAGAAGCUCCGCGUCUGUGACGUAUAUAUUAUGCGACGGUUUGUUGUCAUGACAACGAGAAAGCUAGAGCUCAUAUUUACCUCCGUUAUAAGUUAAAGGCUGAACGCCGCCUUCAGCGCUCAUGAAAAGAGCACAGAAAUGUAACUGAACUAUCUGAUGAAACAAACCCAGACACACUUUUAUGGAAUUAAGUUCCAGUUAAACUAAGAAAGGAGUUUGAAAUUUCCCCUGCCAGGACGAAGAAACCUCCUCGUAGUGCGGUAAGGAAAAGAUACGAGCGAUGUUCCUCGAUCUCUUUCUAAAAGGCCUUAUUUAAUAGCUAGAUUGAUGACAUUGCGAUGUUCCAGUGCAUUCAACUAGACUAUCUUAACUGUCUGUGGUUUAAUCACUGAAGUAGAUGUUCGCAUUUUCGUGUCUACUCGCUGAGCGAAUUUGAAAAUAACUUGUGUAAUGUGCAUCAUUGUCCGAGUGUAAUUUUGAAUGGGAGUGUAAAUGUUUGAUCACGCUAGAGAUUUGCAGUAAAUCUGUUUAACUUCAGUGGAAAGACCCUGUUGCGUAUCCAGAAACUGACACAAAAUCCGCUCUGAUCAAAUUCCGUUGUUACUGAAACAUCUGCAGUGAACCUGCCGCUUAAGUAUAGACUAAUCUCGCUCCGAAACGAGUCGAAAGUAUAUGCGCCACUCCGUAAAACAAUUACGUAAAUUGUCUGUGACUUGCAUUGCUGAGAGUUGCUCUUUAAAAUAACUAGAGUGAUAAUACCACGCUGCAAACUGCUAAGUGUGCUGUUUAUUUGUGCAUUAAGGUUCGUCUUCAAUGCAUUGAGAUCACAAGCGCCAUGUUGAGCUACGAGCUGGACGUGACGGCUAUGAGUUGUGCAUUGUGGAACGCGCUGACGUUCAUAGGAAUCGAUGAAACUGUGUUUCAGAAGUACUAGAAAAAGAUCAUAAAUCACUAGUGUUGGUUGCUAUGACGACGAAAGUUCACGGGAAGUCCUAAAGAGAGACUUCCGGGGCAACUAACCGCGCAUGCGCAACCUACCGACGCCAUAUUGUCAACACAGCACAGCUAGCUAAUAGCAUAGCACAGCUAAACUUACAAGUUAGCGGUCUUUCAUUGUAAGUAUAUACUAAACCCUAGCAUCAAAAGCUAGCAGUCAGCAUCCAGCGGCCUGUUACAGUUAAAUACAGAUUGUGUUUGAACAAACAUUAACCAAUUUAACCCUUUAUCUUCUUAUAAAAGGUUUCUUUAAACACAUUUUGUCUCUUAUGCAUAUUAUUCAAUUUCCUACCUUCCAUUAUCUCAUAACACAAAUUACAGUCUCUCAAUGAGCAAUUGAGUUGAAGUUAAUUUAAGCUGAGCUUGGAGAGCUGAUUAAAUUGAUAUUUUCUUCAUGUUUCAUUAAUUUCCAUUUUUAUCAAUUUCUUAUCAAAGCUGAAGUACUUGAUAAUAAUAAGUCUGAAACAGUGUAAGUUUACAGGACUUACGGCUGCCUCUCAUUCUUAUUUAUUAUCUACCACCCAUUAGUUCCCAGCUUAUGUUUAAUUACUUAUUGGCUGUUUUAUUUAAUUUCACUUGUGUGUUGGGCACUGAGCUGAUUCUGUUCUAUGUGGAGGGCCCCCACUCUAGACAUAAUCAACACAAUCUCCUGGCCAUACAGAAUAAGACUUCCCCAUUGUGGAAUUUUAAAUUGAUAAAAUCCCUCCAAUAAAAUUCUGUUACACAAUCACAAUCAAUGAGCACCAAGCCUCAAUCAGCAUCCCUGUUAUUGCUAUUAAGCAUAAUGACAGAAUAUUUAUUGGUGGAUUUUGUUCAUUUAGUCUUUGAUUAUUUUCCAUUUCAUUUUAAAUUUUCUGUCUCCCUCUAACUUUUCUCUCUUUACCGUUUACAGUCUAGAGACAAAGCCUACGGAACCACAGAUAAUUCUGGUUAAAAUAUUUGUCAUCAUCCAAAUUCCGGCAUCCAAAUGCAGCCACGUCCGGAAAUAAAUUGCAGAGAGAAGCACCAGGUAACUGUUACCGCCCCCCGAGCGUGCCUUUGAGGCAUCUGUGGUAAGCAGUUCAACUGUACCGCAUAAACAGGUGUAUGGUGUCAGUCCAGCAUCCAUCCUGAUUCUACUGGACCUUUCUGCAGCCUUUGACACAGUCAACCAUCAGAUCUUACUCUCCACCUUGUCCUCGCUGGGCAUCACAGGAACUGUGCUUGACUGGUUUAAUUCCUAUCUCUCAGGUAGGUCCUUCAAGGUAGCUUGGAGAGGUGAGGUAUCCAAGCAACAUCAGCUACUUACUGGGGUACCUCAGGGAUCAGUGCUUGGGCCACUUCUCUUCUCUAUAUACACAACAUCACUGGGACCCAUCAUUCAGGCACAUGGUUUCUCUUAACACUGCCACGCUGAUGACAUGCAACUCUACUUGUCUUUCCAGCCCAAUGACACCACAGUGACUGCUCGAAUCUCUGCCUGCCUUGCAGACAUCUUGGCAUGGAUGAAGGAACACCACCAGCAACUCAACUCAGCCAAGACAGAACUCCUUGUCUUUCCAGCCAACCCUGCUGUUGAACACAACAUCACCGUGCAGCUGGGUGCAACUACAGUAACGCCUUCCAAAACGGUCAGAAAUCUAGGGGUAACCAACGAUAACAAACUAAAUUUCACAGACCACAUCUCAAAGACUGCAAGAUCAUGUAGAUUUACACUCUACAAAAUCAGGAAGACCCUUCCUCUCUGAACAUGCCACACAACUGCUUGUUCAGUCACUUGUCAUAACUAGACUGGACUACUGUAACACUCUCAUUGCAGGCCUCCCUGCAUGUGCAAUUAGACCCCUGCAAAUGAUCCAGAAUACAGCACCACGUCUGGUCUUUAAUGAACCAAAGAGAGCGCAUGUUACACCACUCCAUGUCUCUUUUCACUGGCUGCCGGUUGAUGCACGUAUCAAUUUCAAGGAUCUUAUGCUGGCAUACAGAACAGUCACUGGGUCUGCUCCAGCAUACCUAAAAUAAUUUCUGCAGAGCUACGCGUCCACUAGAAGCCUGUGGUCGGCUAAGGAACAUCGCCUUGUACCAACACAAAGAGGCACCAAAACACUUUCCUGGACUUUCAGCUUCAUCAUACCACAUUGGUGGAAUGUCCUUCCCAACUCCAUUCGUGAAGCUGACUCACUUUCUGUCUUCAAAAAAUGACUAAAAACACAUUUUUUCCAUGAGCACUUAACCAGUCACAAAAAAAUAAAUAAAAAUAAAUUCUUGUAGCACUUUAAUCUGUUUUGAAUACUAUUCUGAUGCUAGUGAAACUUUGUAAAAUGGCACUUUUCUUACCACUGUCUCCUUAAGAUGAUUUGCUUAUGUUUUCCUCUUUCGUAAGUCGCUUUUAUCCAAAGUGUCUGCCAAAUGAAUAAAUGUAAAUGUAAAUGCUACAGAA
Myxocyprinus asiaticus (Chinese sucker) is the source of this 8759-nucleotide long non-coding RNA. RefSeq lists it as uncharacterized. The transcript is spliced from 2 exons. Lineage: Eukaryota; Metazoa; Chordata; Actinopteri; Cypriniformes; Catostomidae. The record is from RefSeq and is a predicted model, not a curated record.